AAUUUACUUGCUCAAUGCUAAUAAUGACCCUAUGAGUUGUGAUUAUAAUCCCCAUGUUACAGAUGAGGAAAUAAAGGCAUGACUCCAGGGGGUGCUCUAUACAAGGAAUACAAUAGGAAUUGUGGCCCUAGAAUUGUUCAGCGCAGUGGGACCGUAAAGACAUGAGGCAAACGUGCCUGAUUUAAGUAAAAGGUGGAGUCAGACCUUGAACUAUUACACUCAAUUGCCUCUAUUUUCCCCUCCUUUAAAGCCAGUUUUUACAGUGGGAUUGUUUUUAUGUAUUAUAUGUGUGAAACAAAUAACUACAUCCUGGUCUCACUUGGAUAUUUGUAAGGGCCUGUAUCCCCAUGUGGGUGAAUGUGAGCCAUCCUGCCUUCUGGGCUGGGGGUGGGAGCCGCCCCAGCAGACCACAGCAAUGGCACAGCAGGAUGUCAACACCAGAAGGACCCGUGGGCACAUUCCUGAGCUCAGGAAAAGACUCAGAAUGGAUGGAAGUUGUUUAUAAAUUCUCCUCUG
RNAcentral lists this long non-coding RNA (516 nucleotides) under Homo sapiens (human). RNAcentral's name for it is "non-protein coding LINC01498:3". Lineage: Eukaryota; Metazoa; Chordata; Mammalia; Primates; Hominidae. The record is from RNAcentral.